UAAAUAGAAAAGGCCCAGUAGAGGUGCUGC
RNAcentral lists this non-coding RNA (30 nucleotides) under Mus musculus (house mouse). Lineage: Eukaryota; Metazoa; Chordata; Mammalia; Rodentia; Muridae. The record is from RNAcentral.